CUCUGGGGGAUUAGUGGCGAACGGGUGAGUAGCACGUGAGUAACCUGCCCUGGACUCUGGGAUAACUUCGAGAAAUCGAGUAGCUAAUACCGGAUAGGACCUUGCACCGCAUGGUGUGGGGUGGAAAGUUUUUCGGUUUGGGAUGGACUCCCGGCCUAUCACCUUGUUGGUGAGGUAAUGGCUCACCAAGGCGUCAACGGGUAGCCGGCCUGAAAGGGUGACCGGCCACACUGGGACUGAAACACGGCCCAAACUCCUACGGAAGGCAGCAGUGGGGAAUAUUGCACAAUGGGCGCAAGCCUGAUGCACCAUCGCCGCGUGCGGGAUGACGGCCUUCGGGUUGUAAACCGCUUUUAUUAGGGAAGAAGCCUUCGGGUGACGGUACCUGCGAAAAAACGACCGGCUAACUACGUGCCAGCAUCCGCGGUAAUACGUACGGUCCGAGCGUUGUCCGGAAUUAUUGGGCGUAAAGAGCUCGUAGGCGGUUUGUCGCGUCUGCUGUGAAAACUAUAGGCUCAUCCUCUAGCCUGCAUUGGGUACGGGCAGACUUGAUUGGUGUAUGGGAGACUGGAAUUCCUGGUGUAGCGGUGGAAUGCGCAGAUAUCAGGAGGAACACCGAU
This 620-nucleotide ribosomal RNA is filed under the name uncultured bacterium. RNAcentral describes it as "bacterial SSU rRNA". It matches the Rfam family "Bacterial small subunit ribosomal RNA", at positions 82 to 713 of the family's 1533-position model. The record is from RNAcentral.